UAAUGCAUUUUUAAUGUCGGA
Molecule: non-coding RNA, 21 nt
Organism: Caenorhabditis elegans
Lineage: Eukaryota; Metazoa; Nematoda; Chromadorea; Rhabditida; Rhabditidae
Source: Ensembl